RNAcentral lists this ribosomal RNA (410 nucleotides) under uncultured bacterium. RNAcentral's name for it is "bacterial SSU rRNA". It matches the Rfam family "Bacterial small subunit ribosomal RNA", at positions 355 to 772 of the family's 1533-position model. The record is from RNAcentral.
UAGGGAAUAUUGGACAAUGGGCGAAAGCCUGAUCCAGCGACGCCGCGUGGAGGAUGAAGGCCUUCGGGUUGUAAACUCCUGUUGUGAGGAAAGAAGCCCGCAAGGGUGACGGUACCUCACCAGAAAGCCCCGGCUAACUACGUGCCAGCAGCCGCGGUAAGACGUAGGGGGCAAGCGUUAUCCGGAUUCACUGGGCGUAAAGGGCACGUAGGCGGUUACGUAAGUCCGGCGUGAAAACUCACGGCUCAACCGUGAAACGCCGUCGGAUACUGCGUUGACUAGAGGGCGGUAGAGGUACCUGGAACUAGCGGUGUAGCGGUGAAAUGCGCAGAUAUCGCUAGGAACGCCGGUGGCGAAGGCGAGGUACUGGGCCGUUCCUGACGCUGAGGCGCGAAAGCUAGGGGAGCGAA